AUCCAGCAUACCACAUCUCUCAAAGGCUAAAAAGAAACUGUGCAGGUGUAGGCUUGCCUGAGAGCUGAGAAGAAAAUCUGGUCAUCAUAAGGCUCAACUGGUCUAGAAUAUCCACGAUGGCUCACUGGAGGUUCAACGGAUUUGGAAUGUCCCCGAUGGUGGCAGUUGGUCUAUGCUGUUGGCUGGAAUCUCAGACGAGCAAUAUCCCAGAUAACCCAUCAACCUGCAUCCUGGAGCUGAGGCACUCUAGGUAUGUAAAUGGAAUAAGAAACUCUUUGUUGCAAAUCACUAAGAUUUUGGGGGGAGGUGUUUAUCUGCAACAUAACUUAGUUGAAACUGACUGACACAGCUGAUCCAAGAGAGACAUCCCUGGGGGUGAAGCAUCCUCUG
This 390-nucleotide long non-coding RNA is filed under the name Bos indicus x Bos taurus (hybrid cattle). RNAcentral's name for it is "lncRNA (ENSBIXG00005021110.1)". Lineage: Eukaryota; Metazoa; Chordata; Mammalia; Artiodactyla; Bovidae. The record is from RNAcentral.